AGGGAAAGGUGAAAAGCACCCCGGAAGGGGAGUGAAAGAGAACCUGAAACCGUGUGCCUACAAGUAGUUAGAGCCCUAUGCUUUAUGCAGGGUGAUAGCGUGCCUUUUGUAGAAUGAACCGGCGAGUUACGAUUUCAUGCAAGGUUAAGCUGAAGAGGCGGAGCCGG
This 167-nucleotide ribosomal RNA is filed under the name Bacillus obstructivus. Its description in RNAcentral is "partial 23S ribosomal RNA". It matches the Rfam family "Bacterial large subunit ribosomal RNA", at positions 506 to 669 of the family's 2925-position model. Lineage: Bacteria; Bacillati; Bacillota; Bacilli; Caryophanales; Bacillaceae. The record is from RNAcentral.